UCGGGUAUGGUGUAACGGUAACAUUUCUGACUCUCAAUCGAGUUGAGCACUCAGGGGCCCGGGGUUCGAUUCCCCGUAUCCGAG
This is a non-coding RNA of Lasiosphaeris hirsuta, 84 nucleotides long. The record is from the annotation of a GenBank genome assembly. Lineage: Eukaryota; Fungi; Ascomycota; Sordariomycetes; Sordariales; Lasiosphaeriaceae.